This is a long non-coding RNA of Ictalurus punctatus (channel catfish), 470 nucleotides long. The record is from Ensembl. NCBI's taxonomy places the organism in Eukaryota, Metazoa, Chordata, Actinopteri, Siluriformes, Ictaluridae.
UAGGCCUGCCAUGAUCAGGUGACGUGGCAAUUAAGCGCGCCGCCACCCUUAUUAUCUUCAGCGAGACUGCAUGUCUGUUGUUUGUGUGACAAAAAACGCUUCAUUGCUACUCUAUAUUUUCUCAAAAUCUCUUAACUUUUCUAUCCCUUUUCUAUCCCGGCUGAACUCCCACCGGCGACAGCAGGAUUGGGGAGCUACCUGCUGGAAUUCCUCUGCAGCUACUAAGUUUAUUUCUGCAGCCUGGCAUAUCCCAAGCCUACUAAGAGCCACUGGAUCAGGUUCUUGGUGUCCUGGUUUUGCGGCCCGGCCAGGGACUGGGUGGAGCAACUGGUCAGUACUGGGUCCCCCACUCUCCACGACGUCACCCAGUUCGUGGAACUUUUUGUCAAUUUGAUACUGGUGUAGCACGAUUGGGGAGCUACCUGCUGGAAUUCCUCUGCAGCUGCCAGGUUUAUUUCUGCAGCCUGGCA